Molecule: ribosomal RNA, 437 nt
Filed under: uncultured bacterium
Lineage: Bacteria
Description: bacterial SSU rRNA
Rfam family: Bacterial small subunit ribosomal RNA
Source: RNAcentral
GACGAACGCUGGCGGUGCGCCUAACACAUGCAAGUCGAACGGAGCUUAGAGAGCUUGCUUUUUAAGCUUAGUGGCGAACGGGUGAGUAACGCGUGAGUAACCUGCCCUAGAGUGGGGGACAACAGUUGGAAACGACUGCUAAUACCGCAUAAGCCCACGGUACCGCAUGGUACUGAGGGAAAAGGAUUUAUUCGCUUUAGGAUGGACUCGCGUCCAAUUAGCUAGUUGGUGAGGUAACGGCCCACCAAGGCGACGAUUGGUAGCCGGACUGAGAGGUUGAACGGCCACAUUGGGACUGAGACACGGCCCAGACUCCUACGGGAGGCAGCAGUGGGGGAUAUUGCACAAUGGGGGAAACCCUGAUGCAGCGACGCCGCGUGGAGGAAGAAGGUUUUCGGAUUGUAAACUCCUGUCGUUAGGGACGAUAAUGACGGUAC